Molecule: ribosomal RNA, 484 nt
Filed under: uncultured bacterium
Lineage: Bacteria
Description: partial 16S ribosomal RNA
Rfam family: Bacterial small subunit ribosomal RNA
Source: RNAcentral
AUUGAACGCUGGCGGCAGGCCUAACACAUGCAAGUCGAGCGGAUGAAGGGAGCUUGCUCCUGGAUUCAGCGGCGGACGGGUGAGUAAUACCUAGGAAUCUGCCUGGCAGGGGGUGAUAACGUCCGGAAACGGGCGCUAAUACCGCAUACUUCGUGAUGGAGAAAGUGGGGGAUCUUCGGACCUCAUGCUAUCAGAUGAACCUAGGUCGGAUUAGCUAGUUGGUGGGGUAAAGGCCUACCAAGGCGACGAUCCGUAACUGGUCUGAGAGGAUGAUCAGUCACACUGGAACUGAGACACGGUCCAGACUCCUACGGGAGGCAGCAGUGGGGAAUAUUGGACAAUGGGCGAAAGCCUGAUCCAGCCAUGCCGAGUGUGUGAAGAAGGUCUUCGGAUUGUAAAGCACUUUAAGUUGGGAGGAAGGGCAGUAAGUUAAUACCUUGCUGUUUUGACGUUAACAACAGAAUAAGCACCGGCUAACUUCGUG